AGAGUAUAGCUCAGUGGUAGAGUGCGUGCUUAGCAUUCACAAGGUCCUGGGUUCAAUCCCCAGUAGGUCUA
Molecule: transfer RNA, 71 nt
Filed under: Camelus bactrianus (Bactrian camel)
Lineage: Eukaryota; Metazoa; Chordata; Mammalia; Artiodactyla; Camelidae
Also listed under: 1 other name
Rfam family: tRNA
About the family: Transfer RNA (tRNA) molecules are approximately 80 nucleotides in length. Their secondary structure includes four short double-helical elements and three loops (D, anti-codon, and T loops). Further hydrogen bonds mediate the characteristic L-shaped molecular structure. tRNAs have two regions of fundamental functional importance: the anti-codon, which is responsible for specific mRNA codon recognition, and the 3' end, to which the tRNAs corresponding amino acid is attached (by aminoacyl-tRNA synthetases). tRNAs cope with the degeneracy of the genetic code in two manners: having more than one tRNA (with a specific anti-codon) for a particular amino acid; and 'wobble' base-pairing, i.e. permitting non-standard base-pairing at the 3rd anti-codon position.
Source: Rfam by way of RNAcentral